ACAGAAGCAGAAGGCUUGUCUUUCCUCGCUAAUAAACUGCUUCCCGAGCUAGAAGAAGGAACAAGGGUUUUCGCCUAUUCCAUGCAAAAGACGGCUCUACUUCUUUGCCUAUUUAUUUUCUAACAACCCUGGCCGCAUCCUUGACUUCGAAACAACCAACAGGAGUUCCUCCCAUCAGCUCAAUGGAAUGAAUUCUCUUGCAGUGCAGCCCUGGUGAUAAUACCAUUAGGAGGUGAUUGCGAGUCCACUAUGAGAUCGGGUACUUCCACUAGUCCUAUUCCUUUGCCGGGCAUGAUUUGUCUAUCAACGAUUCUCAAGUCGAGUAGACUCUCUCUUACCGCGAUGCUCAUUAUCUUCCGGUUCAGGGAAUCAGGACCUACAUCUCGUGUGGGCUAGAACCAGCCAAUAGCUUGACUCCGUUCACCGCUGCUUCCUUCAUCCGAUAUUGCUAGUCCAACGGAAAGCUUUGCUUAGCUUACUGGACUUAAGAGCUUUCUGACUUGUCUCGAAAAGGCCGUCUCACUGUGUACGGAAGGCUCAGUUUACUCGCGGUCCAUUCCACCACGAAAGGGAGAAAGGUACUGCUAUCAUGGGGAACACCUAUCUUUGAAAUCCUAUCUUUCAGCUAACGCUAGUCUAGUCUCCAUUGGAAUAAAUAGGGCCAGCCUGGCUCAACCAGAUGAAUAGUUUAUCUAUCAGCAGGGUCGGGGCAUAGCGUAGAAGUUCGGUCAGUCUCCGUUGGCACGGUACACUUUGUUCACUUUGUUUUUAAUACGUUACUUUUCGGCUUAAUAAUAACAAGCAUUAUUCCUGGGCACCGGCAACCCUACUACUGACCAGGGAAGAGAUCAUGAAUAGGGCGUGGUGCAAAUCUAGUAAAUGGUGCCGUCUCGUAUCAGUGAACGUUGUUUGCUUGAUGGAUUGACGGAAGUCCGCUAUUGAUUCGGGAACCACAAGUCGAAUAGGAAUACGUAGAUCAAUCUCUGAAAGCUGCCAGUCCAGAGUAGCUUAUUGGAAAUGUCCUCUGGAUUGAGUCCCUCGAUAUAGCAAUAUUAUUUGCCGAGUCAAGUAUAGUUCAAGUACUACUGCCAACAGGCGCAGGCUAUUAGUCUGAUUCCCUAGUAGCAAAAGUGGAUUCCCUCAUUCAGAAGUAGAUUACAUACAGACAGACAGGCCCGCAUUGCUUCGAUCCAGAGGUUCUUCUGCGAAUCCCUACCAUUACUGGACAAGAGUGGUGGACUCCCAUCCCUGAAACCAGCAGACGGAUCCAAUACACAUAAGACUUUUUUUCUCGGGAAAUUCCGAAUGUCAUGCCCCACAAGUUAGUUGCCCAAGCGCUCCCUAGGAGGGCAGUCUACCACAAGAUAGAGUUUGGGCCUGGAGCCAAAGCCCCAACCCCUCCAUUUUUUGUUGAGCUCAGGAAAGAAUUUAAGGAAGUCACAUCGGCCCUCAUCAAGAGGAAUCUGAUCUCGCUUUGAUUCAUCCGUUGCGCGGCGGGACCCACCACUCUCUGUAAUUUCCCAGUUCCCCAUCGUAUCAUAUCAGGUUUAGGGGCUACCUGGGAUAGAUGAGUUUAUUUGUGGUGCUACUACUUUACUUUUUCUGAGUGAAUAACGUGAGUGAGUAAGCAAGAAGUGUUAGCCUUCCCCAUUGCAAAGAAUUCCUCGCAACAAGACGGAUUUCUUCUUUCCAGAGCAGUAGUGGAAGUGUUCGUAUUUCUUUCAAAGUGCCAGAAUCCAAGUGGCAAGGAAAAGCUUUAUUUGCAUAAUGAAUCGUGAUAUAAAGAGGAUUGGAAGUGCCGUGGUUCAGGUUGCGGAGCGGUGAUACGACUUUUCCAUAUCAAAGAUUCGACUCGAAAACCUUAUGAACCUGUUUUCCUUACUUCAACUAGGUUUCUUCUUCCUUUUAUCCAUAGGAGGCAAGGAUAGCAAGGGUAACAAAACAGAUUAAGCAAUCAAACGGAUGUGCGAAGGAAAGUAGGACUUUUGACUAUGGCUGGCAUAAAAAGUUCACUUUGAUCGUACACUCUACUAGGCAAAACUGGUGUGAGUGGUUUUUACUAUGGGGGGCAUAAACAGUUGAAUAUGGAGAGUCGGCUGAGUUUAGGACAAAAAGACAAGGCGUAGUCUUUUGAGUCUGAUCAGUCUAGUGUUGCCUAUGUUGGGUAGGAAAUAAAAGAAUCAAAGCCCUCGACGUUAGCAGUUCUUAGCGGGACUCGACGUUCCUAACAGCUGUUGAGCUCUCGAAGUAUGAGAUCCUGAAUGCAUCCUCUUUCUUUCCACUUCAUCUUGGGAAUCUGGAAUGGUUGUUUAUGGCUGGGUGUGACAGAUCAGACUGAGUUUAGAAUCAGACUUUCUAUCUAUCUAUCUAGCUGUAUUGCCACUCCAACGGUUCUUUUUCUUUGAUUAUGCCCCGUAUCUCUCUGAGCCUAUUUGAUCUAUUUGCUAUAUCUAAGUUCGAGUGUGAAGUUCGCUCCGGUUGAAGUGUAGGGCUUCCUAAUUCCUGCUUCGUCCUCCUAUGAAUGCACUAGUAUAGAAGGUUGGCCCGUCACCGUAUACCAUCGUAAGAUGAACUGGAAAUUCGUAGUUUCAACCAGUUACACAAAAUAGGCAAGUUGAGGUUUGUUCAGCGUGUGUUGCCUCCAACUAUAACGAGGCCCUUUGACUUGAGGUACGAUCUUACCUCUUAACGCGCUUUCCUGCUAGAAGAAGUGAGGGUGAUGUCCAAUGACCUGUUGAAGAAGCUUGCUGUGUAGAUAGGUUUCGUGAACCUAAUGUAGAACCUGUAAACGAAAGACUAGAGUCCCGGAACCGCUGCCAUUCAAAAAGCUAUCAAUCUGAUUCGAAAUACCAAGGUUCGAAGACCUCUGGCUUUGAUUGUGUGCCCUUUCUUGUUCCUAAGGAUUUCUAACCAGACCUUACCUUAGGCGGACGUAUACUCAAUUAUCAAUAAGACUAAAUCGUGAUCGACCCGCCAUCAUCUCUUGCCUGAACUGACUUACCAGUCACAGGGCCGAGAACACAUGAUCGAGGGAAAUUUCUUUCAUCACUACGAAAACUGGUUUUGCUGAUUGACAAAACGGAUCUCUUCCCUGUGAGCCGCCUUUAGGAAAACUGCACCAAAGAUGUGUCUUUGUUCGGUUCAGAUCAACAAAGCAUUUGCUAAUACCAGUCUGAAGGCAACGCUAUGCAGCUCCAUUUCCUCUUAAAGUGAAUGGCCUUCCUAUUAUAUCGAAUAUUUGGAGUUGCGGAGUUUUUCAUAGAAUGGGGUGUAGGCAAAUACCAACGUCGGUGAUUAUAGGGAAAUAGAUGCUUUCUUACUUAUGUUCUAUACUAGCACAUCAGCACCUACCUUUUCUCAUUGCUUCGUGAGGGUAGACAAUUGCCUGACUCGUACGUAACUGGGCCUGUUGUUUUCUAGUGCUUGAUAGUCUGUAGUGUAGUCUAUGAAAAGAAAGAAGUCACUUGUUCACAAGCCAAGAGUUCCAUUGACUCCUCUCUUAUCUACGUUCAUGCUUACUUAACCAGUAGUGAAUGGAAUAAAGUAAGAAGUCUUUCCACACUCGUAACCUGUAAUUAAUGGGAGUCGGUACAGAUUGGGUGUAGUGAAGAAUGGAACCCCCUACUCUGACUUGGUCUAGUGAAUGUCAGUCCGUACUCAUACUCGGUCUAGUGAAUGAUAGGUAGGUAACAGUGAAGUAGUCGGCGCACCGAGAAGCACACGAUCUAAUCUACUCUUAUUGUCAGUCUCUCCAGAAAGAAGAAGCACACCCUUGCCUUUAUUCUCUUCUAUGUUCUUGUCUCUAGUGUGGAGUUUUUCCUGUCAUAUCUCUGAACUGGACUACCAAAACAUCUACACUGCAUCAAGCCACGUUGUAAGAACCUCGACUAAGACUAAGAAAGGAAACAUCCUAUAAAGCUCUUGCUGGGUGAUUGUUCAGGCUUCUUCCGGUGGAUUGGUAUUGGUAGAGUUUGUUUGCCGUAUCUACACAGGUAGAGAACCUUGUUUCAUAGGUUGGGCCUAUAAAUAGAUAAGCGCGAGAGUACUUUACCGGUACCGGUUUAAAGGCAUUAUUCACUCAAUUCUGCAUUAUUUCUUCUGGCAGCAGGUUAUCUUUCUGCAACGCCCAAACAAAGGUGGAACACGUACCCAGAGAUCCGAAAAGCUACUUCUCAAGAGUCCACUAAACCACUUGUCCCAGGCGCGGGCUAAAUCACUCUGGAACUGGAAUCGCCCGGCGCGAAUCAAGUAGUCGUUAUGUUUGGGAUUCAAGGCAAGCUGGAAUCAGAAUCUGCAGGAAGACAGGGAGGAUCUGGAGCCCAUGUAGGUACGGCCUAAGCUGAGCUGCUAGCGGCAUCAACUCUUUUCCCCGCAAAUAAGAAAAGUAAACAUUCCCUCCCUAGCCUACCCGCCCUUUAUUUAAGUGGAAACAACCACUAUAGGCUACUUAGACUAAAAUAAAAAAUAGGGGCCCUUCUCUAAGUCUAAGAAGGAAGCAGCAUUACUUCAUUUUUUUUACCAAGGAAUGGACUCACUUUCCACUCCUUGAGCCUGCCAUUGAAAUGAAAACAGACUUUAGGGACUCGUUUUCGAAACGAUCCGGUACCAAAUUCCAUGCUAAAAGCGGUAAUCAGAUGCCGUUACCUCUUUCUCUCUUUCUUUCUACUGGCCAUAGUCAUCUCGAUUCUCACUCCAUACCAUACGACAAUAUCUAUUUGACACAAGACAUGACAUGAUCUGGCGGAUCAGAACAGAAAUGGGUUUAGCCUUCUCCCACUCCGGAUUUGCGUAUUCCCUCGGGAAAAUGGGGUAGGCUACUUUUGAGUGAGAUGCGGUUUUCUCAAAAGCAAUCCAUCGUUUCGAGGGUGCCGGGCUAUGGUUCAGUUCGAGUCUAGUUUCCUGAAAAUAUUCCGUGGUUUUGGCCCAAGGAAAGGAGUAGUGACGGAGUUCAUUCAUUAGCAAGGAUCGGACCCAUUCCAGCUUAGAACUUACCACUAGACUCUUGGAAUAGGAAAUUGGCUUUCCCGAGAAGGGGACUAGCACUUGAUUUCGUUGCCUAAUAGAAUCCCAUUCACUCUUGACUCUUGGAAUGAGUCCGGUGGAAAGUAAAGUAGGAAGGAGGGGCGAAAUUCAGUUGUGUUGGACUAGAUUCGAGAAAUGCAUAAUCAAAGCAUUUUCCGUUCUUCAGCCAGCCAUGCCUGGAAUCCAUCGUUGUGCCAAGAAAUAGUGCAACUUUUUCCACUAGGUGAGAUGCACUUUUGGCCCAUAGCGAGAUAGGAUAGAAGUUUUCAGAUCAGCUCCCAAUGAGAUUAGUAGAAUCUAAUGAGGAGAAUCAAAAGAGAGGUUGCCAUAGCAGUCAGUGGUUUUGCCUGGGACAGACGUGGCGCACUUGAUUGACCUUGCUUCCGGACUAGCUUCUCUUUUCAUACCUGGCACGGCAGAUUGAGUGAGUGAGUCCACUGUUUACGUUACAACUAGCAGUAGCGUGUCAAUUCUAGUCAGAAAAAAAGCUUUCCAUUGAUUCAUGAUAGUGCCGUGCCGUGCCGUACUCAACUGGUAUCAAAAGUGAGAAAUAGGCGAUAUUCUCCUAAAGAAAGGACGGUUGGAUUUUAUUUAGACAGAUUAUAAGAAACCUUUUUGGAUCCUUAGCGAAACAUCCCUUAUUAUUAAAUGCAUAUGGGCUUGACUUGAUGGUUUUUGAUGAAGUCGGUUCCCACUUUUCCAGUCAGGUUGGGAGACUUUUUUAGGGAAUUGACUCGUGUUUGACUUGAUCUGUCCACUUUGCAUUACUCUCUUUUUUCGAGCAUUACUUUCUUUGUUCAACUCAUAAGUGGAGUGUGUACGACUCCGAGAACAGUGAUCGAAUAACCAACCUCUUUCCUUGCGUGUUCAUUUUCUUUCCUUGCUCUACUUUUUGGCGAGAAAAGAAGAGCGAAGUAAAACAAUGAGUACCUGCCCUAUAGGCAGCAAAAGCCCUCAAUCUUUUUUUCUUUUUUCUAUUUGACCACCAUUUUUUUCUUAUUUCAACGCUUCUUCAUAAAAACGACUUUCAUCAGUCCGACAUUAGAAGGAAAAGAACGAUGAAAGAUUCCAACUUACUUCACUCAAAGAGUAGAAGCUUCAUCCUCCUAGCGAGCCGAGCCAGCCGAACUCAACCUUUUCUUAUCUAGAACUGCCAACAGUGGAAAGCAUACCACAUUAUCUCCAUUCCAUACUGAGUCCACAGCCCAGGGCUUUCUUUAAUAGCGGCUAUCCCCCGGAGAAUCCUUGCAUUUUGUUGAAAGGAAGCCUCCUCGGCAUGAUUUGCACGACCGAGGUCUUACUCUUUCGUUAUGCUUUAACAUUUCUAUUUUAUAUGUUAUUGGAUAUUUCAGUUAAUUACUUUCAUUCCCGAGGCUGGAUUUCCUUACUCAAUGGAGAGCGAAGCUCCCCUCAAUUCUGGCCAGGAUUCAAAGACCUAUUCGGGCCUAGCCCUCCUUUUCUUUCUUUGUGAGGUGUCGACAGAACUCACUUCAGAGAUAGAGUGGCGGGUACUUCUGGGUCGUAUUCUCGCUCAGGGAAAGCUACACUAUAGGAAGUCAGGAAGUCAAACAACGGAAGCAGGUCUGGCGUAUCGGAUCAAUCUGCGACUGGCCUUUUAUUCAUAACAUUAGUAGUUACUCAUUGGGUGCCAUCAGAUGAACGAACUAGUUUUCCACAGAAGAGGAUUUGAGGUAGGGCUGCUAGAGAAACUGACAAGGAAAUCACAAGAAAUAGAGAUGCUUCACGCCCAGCCAAUCUUGAAAGCUUGUACAGAGAUCCAGAAUUGCAUCUUCAGAAGAAUAAUAAGCUAAGCGUCGCGUCGAAUCUGGACUGGAAAGUCUCUAGAAGGAUUUGCACUCCUACACUGCCUUAUCAACGGAUUCCUGAGAGAAGGGGCCGGGCUAUUCAUUCCUUCGAGGUGCCGCAGUAAAGGUAGACUAGCUUAUUGGGCAAAAAGGUGCCGUACUUCUCAAUUGUGAGACUAGAGCUUGAUCCUCUCUUACGAGAUUUCUAGUUCGAGAUUUCGAGUUUCCUGAAAAGAAAGCGAAGAAAGAGUUCUGUAUUGAAGAUGUCAACUGCCAACUGCGUGCUUUCCCCAAUUCUUCUCUUACGAAAUGGAUCGUUGAUUCCUACCACUGAUGGAUUUAUGCCGACCUUACCUUACCUUAAAAGGAGAAGGAACGGGGCUUCCAGAGUCUGAAAUGCAACUUCCAAUUGACAUAGAAUAGAAUGAUCCAACGAACCCAUACUCGUACUCGGGAAGGCCAGCUGGAAAUGCAGUGCAGUAAAGUAAGUAAUUCAGUAAGUAAUGCACUCAGUGCCAGUGCCGGUUAAGGGUCUAUUGCCAGUGCUAGCGGAAAGAACCGGGCUAUGCGCAGUGGAAUAGAAAAACGAAUAUCAGGAUUUCAUAGAAACUAAUGGAAAAGAUGGAAAUAAUACCGAACUCUUCUAUUGAUUUAUGGCUCAGGGCAGGUGUAACUUAGUGUGAUAGUCUAGUUUGUUUCAUUUAGGAGUGCGUAUAAGUGAGCUUGGUACCAUUCCAUCUUCUUAGCUGUAGGCUUAUUGCUAAGGAUCGAGUGUGGACAGAAAGGUUUGAUGAUCUAGGUCAUUAGUCUCCGGUUUCUCUUUAUGUGUUUGUUCGUCUAUUAUAGUAUAUACGACAGAUUCAUAGCUUCUCAGAUCUUUAUGCGGGCGCAUACAUCUCGAAUCCCUCACCUAAGAAGGAAAGCGAUAGCCAUCCAUUUCUUAUCCUUCGGCCAGGCCGGAUCUAGAUUAGUGACCUUGCUUCUUGACUUUCCCCUGCUUGUUCAAAUCAUGAUAUCCUUGCCCUGUAGGCAUCCCUCAUACGAUCCGAUCUACUUUGAUUGUUUCAUAGCAUAGGUUUGUUUACAAGAAGUGGUAGCUUUCUGUGUUCCUAGCUUGAUGGCUUUUCUUACAUUCCUAUUUCCACAUUCCUAUAUUUCCUUUAUUUUCAGGUCUGGCACUGGGCAUAAGUUUUUGGUCGGCGGGAAGAUACACCCAGCACAUAUGUUUUAGGUCAGAGUCCCAUCCUACAUUGACUAUUUCCACACUUUAUAGAAAGCAUUUGGUACAUUGGGCAACCCGUUUGAUCACACAAGAGAUGAAAUGGAAUUAUUCUUGGCAUAUUUCCUAUCAUUUCACUACCGAGAUCUGAUCAAUAGGAGGGCUCACCCGGGUUCUAGUUCAAUCACUCCAAUCCAUCUUUUCUUUUCUCGGGCCAAGAUGCAAUAGUUUACCGGUCUAGUUCGUUUUCCCGAGAACCUACCUGCCCUAAGCGAAGAAUGCCUAUUCUGGACCAAUUUCUAAGGGAAGAAGAGAAGGUUUGGCACCUGCUUCGGAGAAAUGGUUUCUAAGUACUGGGAUCCAACCAGUUUGCUUUUUCUGACAGCACCUGGGAAAGAAGUAUUCAUUGAACAAGAACAAGGAUCUACUAGUCCAACUUUCAUUCCAAUCUCUAUUCCUAUCAUCUCGCUUUUUCGGACAAGUUUUCUUCUUAACACAGGAGAACAGGAGAUGCAAUGUCGUUAGGGCCUUCUCGGUCUCCCCAACUAGGGGAAACCUCAAAGCAAACAUCCUUCUUCGGACAAGAACUGGCCCAUCUGCAUCGAACUAUUCGAAAUCUUGAAUCCCAUUUCCCUAAUCAAAAGGGAGGGAAGGCACUUAUAGCAAAGCAGGUACGAGAUAUCGUUUCUACCAAAACCAUGCUAUCUACCAGCACCAUUCUUGGCAAUUGAGAGAAGAAGCAGUCUACCGGAGCGAGAGAACGAACCUAGCGUUUUGAGCCCUUGGAAAACAUCAUUGAUAUAUGCUAACCCGGAGAUUUCUUGGUUCAUCAUGCUAUUGCAGAAGGUUUGCAUGCAACUACAUUGAUUUGGGUUUAUGCUUCGUCGCCGAAGGUCUUAUAAGAAGAAGUGGUCCUCGGCUGAAGCUGUUUGUAUAAGAAAGCCGAAGGUUCUUCUUCGUGUAGCUUCGGCAUCACACUCACCGACUUAAAGAUAGAAGACCCUUAGUCCAUAAAGGUCUAGUCAAUGUUGUAAGUUUUUAUAAGGGGCAUACUUGUAAUCCUCACAGGCUGCGUCCUGUCCUAUAAAUAGUGAACAGUAUUCCGUUACGUCACGCAUUCUGGUAUUUGCAAUCGCAUCUCUCGGAAUUCAACCUUUGUCAAGGCAAGGUAUCAUUGUAUUUGAUGAUUCAAUAUAUUAAGUGAAUAAAUAUAAUCGCAUUUGUGAUUCAUUCAACAUUUUUAUCUUUCGUUGUAUUAUCUUACAAUGUUUAUUGAAAGUUAUUACGAAGGUAACUUGUAUAAUACUUUCACCAACCUUGUCCAGACUCAUUAUUCCAAAGGAAUAAGCUUACGGACGAAGACAUAUCAUUAACAUUUUAUGUUCCUUGUUCUUAAUUCAUAGCAUUUGAGAACAAGUCCCCAACAUUGGCGCCCACCUCCGUGAACUCACUUCCACUNNNNNNNNNNNNNNNNNNNNNNNNNNNNNNNNNNNNNNNNNNNNNNNNNNNNNNNNNNNNNNNNNNNNNNNNNNNNNNNNNNNNNNNNNNNNNNNNNNNNGGGAGGCCGGGACGGGAGCCGAGCGCCGCCGCGGGAGGGAGGCCGGCGCGAGCGGGGCGGCGCGAGCGCCGCCGCGGGAGGCCGACGGGCGGCAGGGCGCCGCCACGCCGGCAGGGCGGUCGGGCGGGCAGGGAAGAGGAGGGCGCCGCGCGGAAGAAGAGGAGGGAGAGGGAGAGAGAGAAGAGAAGGGGAGGAGGGGAGCUCACCUCGGGGUCCAAAAUCCAGUGAUCGCCGUCUCCAAAUCCUAGGGCACCACGGGGAGAGAGAGGUGGAAGAGGGAGAGGAGAGGUUGUUGCCGGGAGAUCCAAAUGAGAGAGAGAGAGAGGGGGCCCGGGGGGUUUGGGCGCCAGGGGCGCGCAGCCGGGGCGGGCCGGCCGGCUGGGCUGGGCUAGGACUAGUUGGCGGCGGGCCACUUCGCGGAUCGAAAACCCACGACAGCGCGACCACUAAACGGAAUUAAAUCGCGAACCGAAAUCCGGAACGAACGAGACGAACAUCCAACAUCAGACAAAGAAAUGUGCUUCGGCAUGAUGCAACACCCAUGACACUUAGGUUUUGGUUUAUACAUGACACGGACACCUGCCGCUAUACUGGUUUGAAAUUGGGAAGAAGAGCAAACGGGGAAAGAGAAAAGAGAGUAACGCCCGAAUUUGGUGAAGAAAAGAAAAAAAAAUUCUACCCCCAAAUUCAGGGCGUUACAAACCUAUCCCCCUUAAAAGAAUCUCGCCCUCGAGAUUCAGGGUUGGCUAGCAAAGAGCUCAGGGUAUUUAGCCAUCAGAUCAUCUUCACGCUCCCAGGUUGCUUCUUCCUCAGAGUGAUGAUCCAUUUGACUUUGCACAUUCUGAUGGUCUUCCUUCGGGUGACUCGUCUGCAACUCAAGGAUUGCACUGGCUUCUCACGUAGGUCAAUCCCCUGACUCAAGACCUCCACUGGCAAUGCUCUUCGGACACGCAAGCACUUCUUCAACUGAGACACAUGAAAGACAUCAUGCACAGCGACAAUUCCUGCAAACUGAGCUGAUAGCCACUUCUCCACGUCUGCAAGAUCUGAUACGGACCAAUGUAGCGGGUGCUAGCUUGCCUUUCACUCCGAAUCUCUGACUCCUUGACGUGACACUUCAGAUAGACAAAGUCUCGACUCGAAACUCAGCUCUCUUCUUGUGUCGCUAGCUUGCUGCCUCGAUUGCGUAUCUUCAAUUCUCUCGACCAUCUGAUGUUCUCUCGGCUCAAGAAAAUUCUGCCCAAACACUUGCUUCUCCAGGCGUCCCAUGCAACGAGUUCUCAACUCCUUCCAUAGAGCGCCUGAAAUGUGACAUCUUCAAACUGGCCUGGUAACUGUUGUUAUAGGAAAACUCUGCAUAAGGCAAUCUCUUAUCCCAUCCGGACUGAUCUUGCAACGCACAGGUCUCAACAUGUCUUCAAGAAUUAUUGGUCCUUCGGUCUGCCAUCUGUCUGCGGAUGAUAAGCUGAACUGAAAUUAGAUGGUGCCAAGCUUAUGCAACUGCUCCGAAAUGAGGUGACUGCGUUCUUGUCUGCACUAUUUCUUUGGCACACCAUGAAGACAAACGAUCCGAGACAUAUACAACUCUGCCAAUACGCACUGCUAUAGUUGGUCUUGACAGGUAUGAAGUGGGCUGACUUGGUCAAACGGUCCACUACUACCCAAUGGAAUCGUAGCCGGCUCGAGUGCGAGGCAAUCCGACUAUGAAAUCCAUACCAAUUUCAUCCCAUUUCCACUGAGGGAUCUGCAACGGUUGCAACAACCGCAGGUCUCUGGUGCUCUGCCUUAAUUCUUCGCAACUAUCGCACAUAGCCACAUGCUCUGCGAUUUCCCUCUUCAUCCAUACCACCAGAAUCUUCUCAGUCUGAUACAUCUUCUCCGCAGGUGAAUCGAAUAGGCUGUCUCAUGAGCUUCCUUAAAUCAACUCCCGAAUGACUGGACAUUGGGAACAACAAGCGGUCUUACCAUAUCACCCUUCUGCUCUUUCGAAAUCUUUGCCUUUGCCUUCUAGAAUCAGUCGCCGGAUCUCACUGAUUUUAUCAUCAUUCUUCUGCGCUUCUUGAUUUCGCGCUCUAAGGUAGGUUCCAACUCACUGUGACUCCUCGCGAAUUGUUCAGAAAACCGAGACUCAACCUGUCGAACUCCUUAGCCAACUCAUAAGGCACGACGAGCGACCAUCAGAUUGACUGACUCUUUCUGCUCAAAGCAUCUGCCACUACGUUUGCUUUGCCUGAUGGUAAUGGAUCUCCAACUCAUAGUCUUGAUCAACUCUAACCAUCUUCGUUGCCUCAUGUUCAACUCUGACUGAGUGAAUAUGUACUUAGACUCUUUGGUCUGUGUAAACAUCGCAUUUCUGUCCAUACAGUAGUGCCUCCAUGUCUUCAGUGCGUGAACCACUGCUGCCAACUCUAGAUCAUGGAUGGGUAAUUCUUCUCAUGAACCUUCAGCUGUCGGGACGAGUAUGCCACAACUCUUCCCUCUUGCAUCAACACACAUCCCAAACCUGUGUAACAAGCAUCACAAUACACCGAGAGGGCUUGGCACAUCAGGCAAGAUGGACAGGCCUGUAGUCAACUUUUCUUUCAGCGCUUCAAAGGCCUCUUGGCAUUUCUGGGUCCACUUGAACUCAACUUUGUUGCCUAGCAACGCUGUCAUGGGUUUCGCGAUCUUCGAAAUCCUUCAAUGAAUCGCGAUAAUAUCCGGCCAUUCCAAUGAAGCUCUUGAUUCCUCUAGCAUCUGUUGGCGCUUUCCAGUUCAAAAUGUCUGCCACUUUCUUCGGAUCCACAGCCAAUCCUUCUUGUUGAUUAUGUGACCCAAGAACAGGACUUCACUGAUCCAGAACUCACACUUGCUCAACUUCGCAUACAACUGGUGCUCUCGCAAUCUCUGCAAUACCAGCCUCAAUGAUUGCGUGCUCUUCUUCGCUUGAGAAUAAACCAGAAUGUCAUCAAUGAAUACCACCACAAACUUAUCAAGGUAAUCCAUGAAUACACUGUUCAUCAAGUUCAUGAAGAUGCUGGCGCAUUGGUCAAACCAAAGACAUCACUGUGAACUCAUACAAACCAUACUUGGAAAUGAAUGCCGUCUUCGGAAUGUCCGAAGGUCGGAUCCUGAGCUGAUGAUAACCUGACCUCAGAUCAAUCUUGGAGAACACGCUGGCUCCUCUCAACUGGUCGAACAGAUCUUCUAUUCUAGGCAAGGGUACUUGUUCUUGAUCGUGACCUCAUUUAAAGCUCGAUAAUCAAUGCACAUCCUCUUGGUGCCAUCUUUCUUUUCCACAAAUAGGACAGGGCGGCCCAAGGCGAGGUGCUUGGCCGAAUGUAACCUUUCUCUGACAGCUCAUCAAUUUGCUUCUUAAGCUCAACCAACUCUGGUCCAGAUAUUCUGUAAGCUCUCUUGAAGAUAGGGCGGUUCCAGGAAGAAGCUCUAUAGCAAACUCAACUUUCCGCUCUGGUGGCAUACCCGGUAGGUCCUUUGGAAACACAUCUGGGAAUCGGACACAACCUUGAUCCUCUCAAUUGGGUCUGCUUCACUGCUAUCAACAGCUAGCUGAUAACAACUUCCUUUCUUUGGCUCAAGCGGGACUAACUCGGUCACCACUUCCUCUCCUAGUGGGACACCAACUUGAUUGUCCUUUUAUCACAACUGAUAACUGCCUGAUACUUAUCUAGCCAAUUCAUCCCUAGGAUGACAUCUAUUCCCUGAGUACCCAUUACUAUAAGGUUGGCGGGAAAUGCUAUCCCCCUUAUUUUCACACUUAUAUUCAACAAAUGCUAUCGCUCGAAUUCUACCACCGGCUGAAUCGAUUGAAUGGGGGUUGACAUGGUAGUAAUUAGAAGAUUAUGUGCUUCUACCCAUGAUGCAGUAAUGAAAGAAUGCGUUGCUCCUGUAUCAAAUAACACUUCUGCAUAUGGGAGUCGACUGGGAACAUACCUACUAUCAUGCCGGGGUCUUCUGAACUGCUUCAGCUUCCAAGUGGUUCAGCCUUCCAUGAUUAUAGCGCGGCUGAGGGCGAUUGCCUGCUCCAAGCUGAGACACAUUCUGCUUUGCUGGGGCAUUGGGGCCUGACUGCUGCUGGGCUGCCUUCUUCGGACAUGCAUCACCCAGUGGCCUUGCUCUCCACAGUGGAACAUGCUCUGUUUCCAACCUGAGCUGGUGCUGCCUGACUGUUCUGCUGGUUUGCUGGGGCAGGAAGACGAGGUGCCUGCUGAUUCUGCCUUUGAAACUGACUCCUGACUGAUUGCUCUGACGGUUCUGAUACUGAUUCUGAGGGUACUGCCUUUGGAACUGCUGAUGCUGCUGAGGUGGACGCUGGUUCUGCCUGAACUGCUGAGGUUGAUUGCCUGAGAAACGAGGACGAUUGCUGCUUCCAGGCUGAGGUCCACUGAUCUUGCGCUUACGAUCUUCCAUCUCCUUACGCUUUCUCUCCGUCAUGAUUGCUCUGUCAAUCAGGUGUUGGAAUGUCGGAAAGUGUGAUUCAUCAGUUGAUACUGCAGAGGGUCAACCAAGCCUCUCAGGAAACGGUACUGUCGCUUGGCGUCGGUGUUGACAUCUUCAGGAGCAUAGCGAGACAAUUGCAGAAACUUGUCCCGGUACUCACUGACAGACAAUGGCCCUUGCUUGAGGGCCAGGAACUCCUCCUUCUUCACUGUCAUCAGACCUGCGGGAACAUGGUACUGACGAAAGCUACCUCUGAACUCUUCCCAGUGAUGGCGUCAGGAUGGGCAUGGGUGGCGAGGUAAGACUCCCACCAUGAUUGGGCUGCUCCUCUCAACAGACGGGGACCAUACAGAACCUUCUCCCUGUCAUCGCACUGAGCGGUAUGCAACUCCCGCUCCACAGUGCGCAGCCAAUCUUCAGCAUCCAUGGGGUCAGAAGAGUGAGCGAACGUUGGUGGAUGACCUCUCAUGAAUUCAGCACGCUUGUCUCUGGCAUCUGAGGCACCUGAGGCUGAGUGGGGCCUGCUGCUGCUGUUGCUGCUGCUGCUGAAUGCGGCCAAAGUCUGACCGAUGGCUUGAACUGCCUGAGUCUGCAUCAGAAACAUCUGCUCGAUGGACAUCGGGGGCGGGGGCGGCAGGUGCUGCUGCUGGGGCACCUCUUCCUGUUGAGCGGCUCGCUCCUGCUGAGCACGCCUUCCUCCUCUGCGCCUGUUCUCUGACAUCUGCAGAAUGCAACCACACAUCAGAACUGAUCUGGCAAAUCUUGCAGCAUAAGGAAAGAGAAUAGAACUCCUCAACAGCACUGAACAGAUGAGCAUCUUCACUGAUCUCCAACACAGACCACACAGCUUCUCAGAUAAAGAGGAAAGUAGAAUAAAAGGUUUCCCAACUAGAUAACUAAUUCCAUUAACAUAAUGGGUAAACCAAAAUGCAGGGGAUACCCACACUCUGGUGACAAUCAUUACAAAGAUCCAAACCAAACAUAGUUCAUCAUGACAAACAUAGAUGCACAGGAUAUAGCAAACUACCCUGUCUAACUAAGACUAACUAAGACCGAACCAACGCUAAGACUGAAGCUUGUACGUAUAUAUUUCGUAUUAAUUACAAGAUCCAACUCUAACGAUCUAUGGUUCUAGAGUUAUCUUGGUCUUGCAGUCGGGGUUGCCAUAAGACUGGUGUCCACGCUGAGGUGAGCGGUAUGGGUGCUGAGUCCCGACGGGAGCGGGGGAACCACCAUCCAAGUGACGACGUUCCGCGCGCUCAGCCCGAAGCAGGGCGAUCUCAGCACGAGCCCUACUCAGCUCGUCUAAUGCAUGGUCCAGCUUCGUGUUUAGCACGGCGGCUAGGUUGACUGUGCUGCUCAACCUAGGAUUGCCCUCACCAACAGGUGAGGCAAUCACGCCUCCUGUGCUGCCAGAUGGACGGCGGGGGUAAUACUUCAGGUCAAGACCGUCAGCUGCCCCACCGAAAACCGAGCAGUAGUGCGAAAGCGCACGCCGUGCAGCAUCUUGCAUGGCUGCCUCAGCUGAGUCCCGCUCAGAGAUAGAAUAGUGCUCUGAGCAGGCCUCCGCACCCUGGAGACUGUUCUCCGGGCAGCGCACCAAGCAAGUUGCCUCCCAGCGGUCCGGGUAGACCCCGCGACUAUGCUGGUAGACCACACAGCGAUACUCGACGGACCAAGUAUGCCGGUUAAAUGCCCGACGUAGCAGGGUGUCGAGCGCAUCAUGGAAGUGACACCCGCGAGCAGCGUCGCGAGUGAUGGGUCGAGCAACCCAUCCUUCCGGCUCAGGGUUAGCAGAGAAGUCGGUGUCGUGGCUCGAGCUGUCGUCGCCAUCUCCGUCGUCUGGGUCUCCUCCAGCAGCUACUCCAGAAGCUGGGGCACCCAGUGGUGGUGCAGGGGGCGGCUCCAGAGGAAGCACAGGGGAGCAGCUCCUCACAGACUCUAUCUCCUGUUGGAGCGAGAAAGAAGAGCUCUGCUGCUCCUGUCGUCGACGCUCCUGCUCCUCACGCAGGCGAUGGUGUAGUCUCUCCAAGUGGCUGGACUGUCCGGCCACGGGACGGCGAAGCGGACGCUCAGCAAGGCGGGAGGGUAAGAAGGGGAUGACUGACUUUCGUGCAGUGUGUCUAAGUCGAGCCAUCUACAAAAGACAUCGCAAGCAAAAGGGUGAGAACAGAAUUAAUAUGACCAGCAAAUAAUGAAUCAUAAGUAAAUGAAGGAUUAGAAUAAAACAUGAUUUUCAGCAAGGUAUAAUAUAUAGUAGAACAUAGGUUUGGUUGGUAUGACCAACUUUUGAAGGGAUAUCAAAGUCAAGGCAGAGACAGAGGUCUAUAGUCCUUAGAACGACCAUUCUACUCUAGGUUAGCGGUCCUACAGUCAGCACGGCUCUGAUACCACUUAUGUCACACCCGGUUUUAGAAGGCAAACCGAAUGCGAACCAUGUACGUGCCAGGAUCAGUUAUUCACGUACACAGCAGUUACAUAAUAUGGACAUCAUCACACAGUGCUCAAAAUAGUAUUAAUAAGGGAAAUAGUCGGUUACAUCAUACGUCUGAGACGUCCAUAUAGUUCUUACAAUAAAUCAAAGUGCGGAAAAGAAACGUAGAUAACUGCGGCCUUCAUAGGCAGCCGACUGGGGGUUGCCGCUAACCCACACCUAGAACUCGUCGUAGUCUUGGAACUCCUGGAAGUCUCCUUCCACGGCUUCAUCUUCGCCUGAGCAGUGGUUGCAAUGCUGACAACCUGGGGAUGGGGGGGGGUUUGGUGUGUAGAGCAAGGGUGAGUACACAUCAACAUACUCAGCAAGUAUCCUGUUUGGCUAUAGUGGACUAGCUGUAUGUGGGGAUAAGUCAAGCAUUUGCUUUUAGUUGGUCAGAUUAUUACUUACUAGUAGAAAGCCAAGUUUUAGCAUUAGCCCAAGUUAUUAACCCGAUGUACCCUUUCCAAACGGAAAGAAUACCACUUACCAGCACCAUAGCCAUAACCAGAAUCAUCGAUCUCAUAACCACCUGUACCAAAGUAUCUCUGAUCAAGUACCACUAAUCACUGGAGCUCCCUUGGCCGCUCAUAACCGUGAGCACGGCUGAUAUAUCAGUUUUCAAACACUCUACAGAGGUUGUGCACUUUACCCACAAGCCGUGAUUCCCAUUCUGCCCGGAGAUCAUGACUCUCCAUUGAUCACUACCAAGGUGACCCAGCAGGGCAUCACUACGUAGCCUUUACAAAGAUUCCCCCGGGCUGUAGCCACCCGUUAGGUUUCCUAAAUGCACCGCACUCCUCCCCAAGGGGCGAACCCAAACUUGGUAGAGCGAGCCGCAUACACCGAGCCCCAUUGACGGCACGACGGCUAAGUGAACUACACCCCGGAUCCUCUAAUUAAUCAGCUAAGGGCACCCCAUUCCACCCUCAUGGUUGCACUGUUUUCCCGGCGGUCAUCCAUAGAACAGGUCCUUACGGAGAGGCACUCGAGAAACCGCUCGAGCCCCCUUGAUGACCACAAGCAUACAUCAUAAUAAGAGAGGGGAAAACAGCGUAUCAUAGAUAAUCUCAUCAUGUUCAUUGAUUAGAGUUUAAGCAAUAGCAUAAAGCUAAACAGUAAUAAUCCAACCCAGAUAGGUAAACAAGGACAUGGAUAACAAAAGCUAGUAAAUCCUUAGGCAUAAAUGUGUGAAGCGGGAGGUGAAUUAAAGAAUGAAUAGGACAGAGAUAGGUCAAGGGACACUUGCCUCCACCAACUGACUGCUGCUCAGGGGCUUCUCCUGCGGGUUCCUCGGGCUCUUCAACCGGAUCGUUCUCUAUGCGAGCGCAAACAUACAUACAUCCACAUAUUUUAAUACCAAAGAACAGUACACCAUACAAUAGAAUGCAAUAAGUAAACAGACGUUCCACGCGGGCUCGCGAGUACGGUUAAGAGAGAAAGAGGAAAAGACAGUCGAGAAACGAUCACGUUACAUGAUUAUAAAUUAGCCACUCGCUUAAUGGAAGGAAAUUUAAUGUAGACACUAUGUUUAGCGUAAAGUAAAGUCAUGUUUCAUGUCUAAUUAUUAUAAGCAGGUGGAGAUACAUAAAAGGAUGGUCGCGCGGCGAGACGCGCGACAAAGCUCUCUAAAACAAAUUAAGAAAUUAACGACUCGUCGCGCGACCGAGCACGCAGCGAGACACUUUGCCUUAGUUAAGAGGAGACGUUAAGCGUCGCGCGACAAAGCGCACGACGGCACACGUCGACUAAACUGAGUCCAAAGUGGAACGUCGCGUGAAUACACACGCGGCGUUACACCUUAAACAACCUGAAACAAAAAUGGAUCGUCGCGCGACGAAGCGCACGACGCAACACGAGAUAGAAUAAUCACCGCGCGACGCAACACGCUAAUUAACGAAUAAUCACCGCGAGCGCGGGCGAGCGAAGAUACGGUCGGGCGAGGCCGGGACGGGGGAACGGGCGGGCGAGCUGGGGCCAGGGCGGUUGAACCGGCCAGGGGGCGGUUGAACCGGCCAGGGCCGCGCCGGGGACGCGCCGGGGGCCGGGGGCCGCGCCGGGGUCGCGCCGGCGAGCAGGGGCCACCGGGGCCGCGCCGGGCCACGCCGGGGGCACGCCGGGGCCGCGCUGCGCGCGAGCAGGGGAGGAGCGGGGGCGGGCGGGCGAGCCGGGGGCGGACGCCGAGCGCCACCGCGGAGAGGGGCCGAGCGGGCGGGCCGAGCGCCGCCGGGGCCGGGGGCGAGGACGGGGACGGGGUCGCCGCGCCGGGCAGGGGCGGGGACGGGCGGGGCCGCCGCGGGGAGGGGCGGGGGCGGGAUCGCCGCGCCGGGCAGGGGAGGGGCCGAGCGGGCGGGGCCGCCGCGGGGAGGGGCGGGGGCGGGAGCCGCCGCGUCGGGGAGGCCGGGGAAGGGGUCGAGCGGGCGGGCCGCCGCGGGGAGGGGCGGGGGCGGGAGCCGCCGCGCCGGGGAGGCCGGGGAAGGGGUCGAGCGGGGGGGAAGAGGCCCGGGACGGGGAGCCGGGCGCCGCCGCGGGAGGGAGGCCGGGCGGGCUAGCCGGGGGCGGGCGCCGAGCGGGCGGGCAGGGGCGCCGCCGCGGAGGGAGGGGGAGGGGCCGAGCGCCGCCGGGGAGGGAGACCGGGCGGGCGCCGCCGGGGAGGGAGGCCGGGGACGGGGAGCCGAGCGCCGUCGCGGGAGGGAGGCCGGGCGGGCGAGCCGGGGGCGGGCGCCGAGCGCCGCCGCGGGGAGGGCCGAGCGGGCGGGCAGGGGCGCCGCCGCGCCGGGCAGGGGCGGGGUCGGGCGCGGGCAGGGGGAAGAGGGAGGGCGCGCGCGCGGGGAAGAAGAGGAGGGAGAGGGAGAGAGAGAGAAGAGAAGGGGAGGGGAGGGGAGCUCACCUCGGGGUCCAAAAUCCGGUGAUCGCCGUCUCCAAAUCCUAGGGCACCACGGGGAGAGAGAGGUGGAAGAGGGAGAGGAGAGGUUGUUGCACGGAGAUCCAAAUGAGAGAGAGAGAGAGGAGGGGGCGCACGGGGGGUUUUGGGCGCCAGGGGCGCGCAAGCCGGGGCGGGCCGGGCCGGGCCGGCUGGGCUGGGCUGGACUAGGUUGGGCGGGGCCGGGCCACUUCGCGGAUCGAAAACCCACGACAAGCACGACCACUAAACGGAAUUAAAUCGCGAACCGAAAUCCGGAACGGAACGAGACGAACAUCCAACAUCAGACAAAGAAAUGUGCUUCGGCAUGAUGCAACACCCAUGAGACUUAGGUUUUGGUUUAUACAUGACACGGACACCUGCCGCUAUACUGGUUUGAAAUUGGGAAGAAAGAGCAAACGGGGAAAGAGAAAAGAGAGUAACGCCCGAAUUUGGUGAGAGAAAAGAAGAAAAAAUUCUACCCCCAAAUUCAGGGCGUUACACAUAGCCAGAUGAAAAAGUUCACUUUCCGGACCUGGUUUUUACCCAUUUUACGAGCGAAAUGAAAAAAACCGUACUUUUGGCAUGAAAGUUUCCGAAAAUCAAGCUCGAAAAAGAGGCAUUUAUGAGGGAAACGAGAAAAAAGUGUCACUUUGCCACAGGCGAGACGGAACAGAUCUUAAAAUGGAGGCUUUCCAAUUUUAUGAGCAGAAAUGUUAUGUUAAGUAAUUUCGCGGGAUUUCCAUCGUCUACAGUUGAGGUACUCCCGCCAAUCUCAGGUCCUGCUUCUAGCAACCAUAAUAACUAGCCGUUUAGCACUAUCGAACUAUAUGAGGAUAACUUUUCUCAAAGAAUAGCAAUGAAAUAGCGUAAGAGUGGUGCCUCACAUUGGUUAAGUGGUCCGAAUAGAGAAGUUCUAAGUGUGAAUGGUAUCGCCCUGUUUCUCACUCUGUGAAGGCAGCGGAUAUGGUUCCACCAUCGUUUCAGGGCAGUGAUCUCCACUCUGAAUAGUCCUCCCUCAAGUUGCAGGUAGGGGUACAGCUUCGUGCGUUGAUGGUGAAAACCUAUUCUUUUGGAAAGGAUCACUCCAAUCCGGUUUAAGUAGGAGCGGCAUUUCUAGCUGACUAUAGAAAUCUGGUUGCCGGGCUUUCUUCAAACAAUUGGCACUAUAGACGUAGUUACGGUAAUAGAAUUGCCAUGUUCCGCGCUCGAGAAGCUAUCUAUUUUACUUUUACGGUGAGUGUAAGCAACAUAGACAAAAAAAAAAUAAUUGGAACUCUUUCGUGGUGUAGGUAUCUCUCUUUGCAAAUUGAGAUACCGAGGCCCCUACUUACCUACCGGGUAGGUGGCAUAAGAGAAUCCUGUGCAGUCGAGCAUUUUCAUCCUCUCUUCAACCACUGCCAGCAACUUUUUCUACUAGUCGGAAAUCAAUUCAAUAUAGUAUUGCAAUCAUGAGCAUCAGUGGAUCUUUAGAUCUUCUCGAUCUGGCACUUUGGUAAGCUAAGCGGAUUGAGUGAACUGACUUUCCUCUUGUUCCGAGAAACAGGUAGAUCGGUAAAGCAGGUAAAGAGUGCCGCCCUGUGACUUAAAUGCGUAGACUAGCUUCUUCUUUUCUUCGGAAUGGCUCCCGGGUUAAAAUAGGCUUUAGGCCUACACGAAUGGAAGGAAGCAAGCAGUUGGGGCAUCAGGAGAAGUUCUUGCUGUGGGAACUCAGAUAGCUGACUGGCUGGAUAGCACUGGUCUGUCUAGUUCUUGGAGAUAGCUCUUGUGAGAUAGCUCUUGUCUGGUGUCUGGCCUGGGUUUCGAGAGUGAGUUCCGGGAUGAUUGCCUACACGAAUGGAAGGAAAAGCAGGUACUUUAUAGAGUGGUUUGUAUCCACGAGUUUCGUAAGUGGUAUCCUUUCUUGUUUGACAAUGUGUCAAUAGAGUAGAGCUCUCCUCUUCAUUGGUCAUUUGCCGUCUCUCUAGAUCGAGAGGAUUGUGCUUGCUUGUCUGAUUCUGGAAACAAUGUAGUGAUCAUUGGAGUGGAGUUUUUUGUAUAUGCAUGCUCCUGCUCAUGAGCUUGACUUGAGCACUGUUCCGCAUACAGGAUUCAUUCCAAGCCAAGGGAAGACUCAUGAUUUCGACCGAAGCGGCCGGAUUGGAGGUAGAAUAGUUUGCUGGUUGUUUCCAGAGAGAGACAGACUGCCUUCUCUCAGGCUAGGAAGGAGGAAGAGCAAUAUAAGUCCGCCAAUGGAGGAAUAGCAAAUCAGUCCGCUAGUUCGGCUACAGAAUGGAAUGGACAAAGGAGUAGACUUGGAAAGGAAGGGUUAUCCUUGAAUGGAAAGUAAGCACUGCAGGUAUCUUCUGUUUAUACUAAUGGUGCCGCUAGCAAUCGGCCUGUUCGCCCACAUAACCCUUACCACUCUCUUUGGCUUCUCUUCUCUUACUGAAAUCGAGAAAAAAAAGUGAAUGGUUUGGCUUGUCGCGGACUCUUCUCCAUAACGCCUCCGCUGUUGUGCCAUUCUCUAGUCUCAUAACUCAUGGAUGUGCCAUAGGUUCGAUUCUAUUCUCAGCAGCAGCAUCACAAUCAUUGGACCCGACCUCAACAGGCCAAGAAACAAGAUUGAUCUGGUUUUCUUGCUUGAGUUGUGUCAAUGACAUAAAUAAGUUGUGGUGCCAUUCAUUCUAUCAUCCAUCGUGUACCGGUCGUCCCUAGUUAGAGACAACCACUUCAACAGGAGCGAGGAUGGAAUGCUCGACCGGAAGGGAUCUUAGGCUGGGCUCGGCCAACAGGAGAGGCUGAAAUGAUCGAAUGAAAUGAGAGGAAUAAGGCGAGAUACGAUAGAGAUUUCUCAAAUCAAGAGCUUAUCCGUGGCCUAUGCUGCUCUGCCCGGCUUCUAAUUCUUAAACGAUCUCUUCACCGGAACUCGUAAAAGAUAGGGCUCCCCCAGGCCUAGAGCAACGAUCAACUCAUCUGUUGAAUUUCAUUCAUUUCUGUGCAUUGCUUUUUGUUUGGGAAUGGGGAUCCGGAGUCUUCAUUUGAGGCAAAGAGUAGUUCUUGUUUUGGAUCAAGCCGGUAGAAAUUCGAAUCAUAAGAUUUGCAUGAUUUGUAAUGUAAUUUGGCCCAGGCUGAUUCCUCUUUCUAUUUAUCUUGGGCUUAACCCCGCUUCUCUUCGAAACCGAGGCAUUCCCCGUAGAUAAUUUAAGCCAAGGCUUAGGCGUAGAGCUCAACAAAGACAGUCUAGGCUCAAAAAUAAAAAGUCAAGUCAGAAUAUGGAAUAUGAGUGGGCCGCCAAGGCAAGACUUCUAUUCUCCCAACUCCUGAGAACUAAUAACAGGAUGAAACCGGAGACCAAUAGGCGGGCCGGGCAUCUUACCAAUAGAUCUACGGAAAAACUAGCUAGAUCCGGAGAAACUAGCUAGCUAUAUGAUAACCGGAGAAAAAGAGAGUUGUCUUUCUCUUUACCAGAUUCCCGAGUGAGAGUCCGCGCUGGCCCCGGGGCAGAUAUUGACAUUGCCAAUCCCAUAGGCAGAUGGAAACUUAUUCAUUCGAGAACUCUCCACCAACGGAAGAUAUGGAAAUGCACGGUACAACACUUAGCCCUUAGCCCGAGAAAGAGAUCUGAAUACGGAUAGUGGAGUACUUCCCUCCGAAAUCCAAAAAGUGCCACGACUUCCUAAACCCACCUUUCAAGUUGCGAUACAGGAAUAGUUCGAUUUCGAAGAAUGGCUUGAGCGAGUCCUUUCCAAUUCCAAUUUGAAUUUCUCUUAAUUAAUACGUUCUCCUAAUUAAUACGAUUCUCUUUACUCCUUUACUCUAUGAUAAAUUACAGUAAUUAGCGAAUGGUCCGGACUUGUCCGGACGGUUUUCAAAAUAAUAAAAAUAAUGAUUAAUGAUUGAUUUCUGACUAUUCUCUUCUCUUCUCUGUCUCCUUCAAGCUUCAGAAAAAGAUGGAAAGUCAGUAAUUUCAGGAAUGGCGAUUUUUGAUACGAUGCAACUGGUGAGGCCAGAUGUGUAUACAAUCCGCCUUAGAAAAGCGUUGUCCAUGGCCUCCUUGAUUCUGCUUGGAUGAGAACCCACUGGCACUAAUCGAAUAUCGGUUCCCAGCUCGCGCGGAGAGGGGGUCCCACUUUAAAGAGUGUGUAUAGUUUUUUAAAGGUACCUCGGUUGUUUAGAAGAGGCCCUGCUGGUGAACAUCAUUAUUCCUUUCUUCAAAUCCUUAAUCCGGUCAAUAUAUCUCGGAUAGAGCUGCAAAUCAAAGCAAAUACAGUUCUAUGUCUCUUUACUUGCGAGUUCUCUUUCCACCACCCACUGCCCGCGCCACGUUCUGCCAGCGGUCCGGCGUGUCCUUGUCGUAUGUCACCAGUGCCCUCUCGAACAGCUUGUUCUGCUUCGUCGUCCAUGAUGAACUCAUGGUUAGAUUUCUCUCAAUAUAUGUUAUGUUCAAGGAAAAGUUUAAGGUGUUCUGUAAUGGCUGCAACUGCUACUACUUUAGCUAUAAGGUCACUGGCUAGCUUGUGUUUGUAUGCAAGAAGAGCGAGGGACAAUGCCCAAAUGGGAAGCUUUACUGCACUCUGACCUUCAAAUAAGGUGCUGCUAACUACUAAUAUUAGUAAUCCUCAUAGGCAAAAUAUACCAGAAAGACUACUUGAAGAAUACAAAACAAGGCACUAGGCAGCCCUCCCGGCGAGCAUUUCUUUGCCCUUCAGCCCAUAGCCAUGUCCUGAAUGAGUGAUAUCACCAACUUGCAUUGAGGAAUACUGCGCAUAACAAAAAGCUGCAAUGCCGGGGAAUUUUCACGUACACUGAUGGAAUGUCCGUUGGAGACAUGGUGCACAAUAUGCACCAUCAGCUGCAGCCCAAUACCACGAAUUAUCUGUACGAUGAUUCCAAUUUCUAAAAGCAGGAUCAUAUUUUGGAAUCAUAAUGCAGAUUAUUGUACCUCAAAGGUAGGAUGAAUGUCAAUAGAAUACAUCUAGCUUCCUACCUUUACUUGUCUUCUCUUUACUUGACUAGCCGUUACUUCAACCCGAAACAAAGCAAUACUUCUGCUACAAAAGGCAACAAUUACUUGUUACUUAUUCCUCUAUUGGUUUCUCAAAACUAGACAUAAUGACACCAAAACGAACCGCCAUCCGAGUAUGGGCUAGAUUGACUUUCGAUUUACAGAACUGCUACAUCUUUUUUGCUUUGAUGUCGGUGUGAAUCUACCCACAUUUCUUAUCUGGGCCAGUGCUUUCCAUAAAACAACAGUCUGAGGAAUCAAAGAUCCUAACAGAAGCAGAAGGCUUGUCUUUCCUCGCUAAUAAACUGCUUCCCGAGCUAGAAGAACGAACAAGGGUUUUCGCCUAUUCCAUGCAAAAGACGGCUCUACUUCUUUGCCUAUUUAUUUUCUAACAACCCUGGCCUGGCUGAGAGGCAUCCUUGAUUUCGAAACAACUAACAGGAGUUCCUCCCAUCAGCUCAAUGGAAUGAAUUCUCUUGCAGUGCAGCCCUGGUGAUAAUACCAUUAGGAGGUGAUUGCGAGUCCACUAUGAGAUCGGGUACUUCCACUAGUCCUAUUCCUUUGCCGGGCAUGAUUUGUCUAUCAACGAUUCUCAAGUCGAGUAGACUCUCUCUUACCGCGAUGCUCAUUAUCUUCCGGUUCAGGGAAUCAGGACCUACAUCUCGUGUGGGCUAGAACCAGCCAAUAGCUUGACUCCGUUCACCGCUGCUUCCUUCAUUCGAUAUUGCUAGUCCAAUGGAAAGCUUUGCUUAGCUUACUGGACUUAAGAGCUUUCUGACUUGUCUCGAAAAGGCCGUCUCACUGUGUACGGAAGGCUCAGUUUACUCACGGUCCAUUCCACCACGAAAGGGAGAAAGGUACUGCUAUCAUGGGGAACACCUAUCUUUGAAAUCCUAUCUUUCAGCUAACGCUAGUCUAGUCUCCAUUGGAAUAAAUAGGGCCAGCCUGGCUCAACCAGAUGAAUAGUUUAUCUAUCAGCAGGGUCGGGGCAUAGCGUAGAAGUUCGGUCAGUCUCCGUUGGCACGGUACACUUUGUUCACUUUGUUUUUAAUACGUUACUUUUCGGCUUAAUAAUAACAAGCAUUAUUCCUGGGCACCGGCAACCCUACUACUGACCAGGGAAGAGAUCAUGAAUAGGGCGUGGUGCAAAUCUAGUAAAUGGUGCCGUCUCGUAUCAGUGAACGUUGUUUGCUUGAUGGAUUGACGGAAGUCCGCUAUUGAUUCGGGAACCACAAGUCGAAUAGGAAUACGUAGAUCAAUCUCUGAAAGCUGCCAGUCCAGAGUAGCUUAUUGGAAAUGUCCUCUGGAUUGAGUCCCUCGAUAUAGCAAUAUUAUUUGCCGAGUCAAGUAUAGUUCAAGUACUACUGCCAACAGGCGCAGGCUAUUAGUCUGAUUCCCUAGUAGCAAAAGUGGAUUCCCUCAUUCAGAAGUAGAUUACAUACAGACAGACAGGCCCGCAUUGCUUCGAUCCAGAGGUUCUUCUGUGAAUCCCUACCAUUACUGGACAAGAGUGGUGGACUCCCAUCCCUGAAACCAGCAAACGGAUCCAAUACACAUAAGACUUUUUUUCUCGGGAAAUUCCAAAUGAGGGAUGUCAUGCCCCACAAGUUAGUUGCCCAAGCGCUCCCUAGGAGGGCAGUCUACCACAAGAUAGAGUUUGGGCCUGGAGCCAAAGCCCCAACCCCUCCAUUUUUUGUUGAGCUCAGGAAAGAAUUUAAGGAAGUCACAUCGGCCCUCAUCAAGAGGAAUCUGAUCUCGCUUUGAUUCAUCCGUUGCGCGGCGGAUGAAUCAAAAACUCUCUGUAAUUUCCCAGUUCCCCAUCGUAUCAUAUCAGGUUUAGGGGCUACCUGGUAUAGAUGAGUUUAUUUGUGGUGCUACUACUUUAUUUUUUCUGAGUGAAUAACGUGAGUGAGUAAGCAAGAAGUGUUAGCCUUCCCCAUUGCAAAGAAUUCCUCGCAACAAGACGGAUUUCUUCUUUCCAAAGCAGUAGUGGAAGUGUUCGUAUUUCUUUCAAAGUGCCAGAAUCCAAGUGGCAAGGAAAAGCUUUAUUUGCAUAAUGAAUCAUGAUAUAAAGAGGAUUGGAAGUGUCGUGGUUCACACCUGGGUUGCGGAGCGGUGAUACGACUUUUCCAUAUCAAAGAUUCGACUCGAAAACCUUAUGAACCUGUUUUCCUUACUUCAACUAGGUUUCUUCUUCCUUUUAUCCAUAGGAGGGGAUGCAAGGAUAGCAAGGGUAACAAAACAGAUUAAGCAAUCAAACGGAUGUGCGAAGGAAAGUAGGACUUUUGACUAUGGCUGGCAUAAAAAGUUCACUUUGAUCGUACACUCUACUAGGCAAAACUGGUGUGAGUGGUUUUUACUAUGGGGGGCAUAAACAGUUGAAUAUGGAGAGUCGGCUGAGUUUAGGACAAAAAGACAAGGCGUAGUCUUUUGAGUCUGAUCAGUCUAGUGUUGCCUAUGUUGGGUAGGAAAUAAAAGAAUCAAAGCCCUCGACGUUAGCAGUUCUUAGCGGGACUUGACGUUCCUAACAGCUGUUGAGCUCUCGAAGUAUGAGAUCCUGAAUGCAUCCUCUUUCUUUCCACUUCAUCUUGGGAAUCUGGAAUGGUUGUUUAUGGCUGGGUGUGACAGAUCAGACUGAGUUUAGAAUGAGACUUUCUAUCUAUCUAUCUAGCUGUAUUGCCACUCCAACGGUUCUUUUUCUUUGAUUAUGCCCCGUAUCUCUCUGAGCCUAUUUGAUCUAUUUGCUAUAUCUAAGUUCGAGUGUGAAGUUCGCUCCGGUUGAAGUGUAGGGCUUCCUAAUUCCUGCUUCGUCCUCCUAUGAAUGCACUAGUAUAGAAGGUUGGCCCGUCACCGUAUACCAUCGUAAGAUGAACUGGAAAUUCGUAGUUUCAACCAGUUACACAAAAUAGGCAAGUUGAGGUUUGUUCAGCGUGUGUUGCCUCCAACUAUAACGAGGCCCUUUGACUUGAGGUACGAUCUUACCUCUUAACACGCUUUCCUGCUAGAAGAAGUGAGGGUGAUGUCCAAUGACCUGUUGAAGAAGCUUGCUGUGUAGAUAGGUUUCGUGAACCUAAUGUAGAACCUGUAAACGAAAGACUAGAGUCCCGGAACCGCUGCCAUUCAAAAAGCUAUCAAUCUGAUUCGAAAUACCAAGGUUCGAAGACCUCUGGCUUUGAUUGUGUGCCCUUUCUUGUUCCUAAGGAUUUCUAACCAGACCUUAACUUAGGCGGACGUAUACUCAAUUAUCAAUAAGACUAAAUCGUGAUCGACCCGCCAUCAUCUCUUGCCUGAACUGACUUACCAGUCACAGGGCCGAGAACACAUGAUCGAGGGAAAUUUCUUUCAUCACUACGAAAACUGGUUUUGCUGAUUGACAAAACGGAUCUCUUCCCUGUGAGCCGCCUUUAGGAAAACUGCACCAAAGAUGUGUCUUUGUUCGGUUCAGAUCAACAAAGCAUUUGCUAAUACCAGUCUGAAGGCAACGCUAUGCAGCUCCAUUUCCUCUUAAAGUGAAUGGCCUUCCUAUUAUAUCGAAUAUUUGGAGUUGCGGAGUUUUUCAUAGAAUGGGGUGUAGGCAAAUACCAACGUCGGUGAUUAUAGGGAAAUAGAUGCUUUCUUACUUAUGUUCUAUACUAGCACAUCAGCACCUACCUUUUCUCAUUGCUUCGUGAGGGUAGACAAUUGCCUGACUCGUACGUAACUGGGCCUGUUGUUUUCUAGUGCUUGAUAGUCUGUAGUGUAGUCUAUGAAAAGAAAGAAGUCACUUGUUCACAAGCCAAGAGUUCCAUUGACUCCUCUCUUAUCUACGUUCAUGCUUACUUAACCAGUAGUGAAUGGAAUAAAGUAAGAAGUCUUUCCACACUCGUAACCUGUAAUUAAUGGGAGUCGGUACAGAUUGGGUGUAGUGAAGAAUGGAACCCCCUACUCUGACUUGGUCUAGUGAAUGUCAGUCCGUACUCAUACUCGGUCUAGUGAAUGAUAGGUAGGUAACAGUGAAGUAGUCGGCGCACCGAGAAGCACACGAUCUAAUCUACUCUUAUUGUCAGUCUCUCCAGAAAGAAGAAGCACACCCUUGCCUUUAUUCUCUUCUAUGUUCUUGUCUCUAGUGUGGAGUUCUUCCUGUCAUAUCUCUGAACUGGACUACCAAAACAUCUACACUGCAUCAAGCCACGUUGUAAGAACCUCGACUAAGACUAAGAAAGGAAACAUCCUAUAAAGCUCUUGCUGGGUGAUUGUUCAGGCUUCUUCCGGUGGAUUGGUAUUGGUAGAGUUUGUUUGCCGUAUCUACACAGGUAGAGAACCUUGUUUCAUAGGUUGGGCCUAUAAAUAGAUAAGCGCGAGAGUACUUUACCGGUACCAGUUUAAAGGCAUUAUUCACUCAAUUCUGCAUUAUUUCUUCUGGCAGCAGGUUAUCUUUCUGCAACGCCAAAACAAAGGUGGAACACGUACCCAGAGAUCCGAAAAGCUACUUCUCAAGAGUCCACUAAACCACUUGUCCCAGGCGCGGGCUAAAUCACUCUGGAACUGGAAUCGCCCGGCGCGAAUCAAGUAGUCGUUAUGUUUGGGAUUCAAGGCAAGCUGGAAUCAGAAUCUGCAGGAAGACAGGGAGGAUCUGGAGCCCAUGUAGGUACGGCCUAAGCUGAGCUGCUAGCGGCAUCAACUCUUUUCCCCGCAAAUAAGAAAAGUAAACAUUCCCUCCCUAGCCUACCCGCCCUUUAUUUAAGUGGAAACAACCACUAUAGGCUACUUAGACUAAAAUAAAAAAUAGGGGCCCUUCUCUAAGUCUAAGAAGGAAGCAGCAUUACUUCAUUUUUUUUACCAAGGAAUGGACUCACUUUCCACUCCUUGAGCCUGCCAUUGAAAUGAAAACAGACUUUAGGGACUCGUUUUCGAAACGAUCUGGUACCAAAUUCCAUGCUAAAAGCGGUAAUCAGAUGUCGUUACCUCUUUCUCUCUUUCUUUCUACUGGCCAUAGUCAUCUCGAUUCUCACUCCAUACCAUACGACAAUAUCUAUUUGACACAAGACAUGACAUGAUCUGGCGGAUCAGAACAGAAAUGGGUUUAGCCUUCUCCCACUCCGGAUUUGCGUAUUCCCUCGGGAAAAUGGGGUAGGCUACUUUUGAGUGAGAUGCGGUUUUCUCAAAAGCAAUCCAUCGUUUCGAGGGUGCCGGGCUAUGGUUCAGUUCGAGUCUAGUUUCCUGAAAAUAUUCCGUGGUUUUGGCCCAAGGAAAGGAGUAGUGACGGAGUUCAUUCAUUAGCAAGGAUCGGACCCAUUCCAGCUUAGAACUUACCACUAGACUCUUGGAAUAGGAAAUUGGCUUUCCCGAGAAGGGGACUAGCACUUGAUUUCGUUGCCUAAUAGAAUCCCAUUCACUCUUGACUCUUGGAAUGAGUCCGGUGGAAAGUAAAGUAGGAAGGAGGGGCGAAAUUCAGUUGUGUUGGACUAGAUUCGAGAAAUGCAUAAUCAAAGCAUUUUCCGUUCUUCAGCCAGCCAUGCCUGGAAUCCAUCGUUGUGCCAAGAAAUAGUGCAACUUUUUCCACUAGGUGAGAUGCACUUUUGGCCCAUAGCGAGAUAGGAUAGAAGUUUUCAGAUCAGCUCCCAAUGAGAUUAGUAGAAUCUAAUGAGGAGAAUCAAAAGAGAGGUUGCCAUAGCAGUCAGUGGUUUUGCCUGGGACAGACGUGGCGCACUUGAUUGACCUUGCUUCCGGACUAGCUUCUCUUUUCAUACCUGGCACGGCAGAUUGAGUGAGUGAGUCCACUGUUUACGUUACAACUAGCAGUAGCGUGUCAAUUCUAGUCAGAAAAAAGCUUUCCAUUGAUUCAUGAUAGUGCCGUGCCGUGCCGUACUCAACUGGUAUCAAAAGUGAGAAAUAGGCGAUAUUCUCCUAAAGAAAGGACGGUUGGAUUUUAUUUAGAUAGUUUAUAAGAAACCUUUUUGGAUCCUUAGCGAAACAUCCCUUAUUAUUAAAUGCAUAUGGGCUUGACUUGAUGGUUUUUGAUGAAGUCGGUUCCCACUUUUCCAGUCAGGUUGGGAGACUUUUUUAG
Molecule: long non-coding RNA, 30452 nt
Filed under: Zea mays
Lineage: Eukaryota; Viridiplantae; Streptophyta; Magnoliopsida; Poales; Poaceae
Description: long non-coding RNA (ZMAY_LNC000895)
Source: RNAcentral